RNAcentral lists this ribosomal RNA (1116 nucleotides) under uncultured bacterium. Its description in RNAcentral is "bacterial SSU rRNA". It matches the Rfam family "Bacterial small subunit ribosomal RNA", at positions 8 to 1169 of the family's 1533-position model. The record is from RNAcentral.
AGAGUUUGAUCAUGGCUCAGAACGUACGCUGGCGGCACGCCUAACACAUGCAAGUCGAACGCAGUAGCAAUACUGAGUGGCAAACGGGUGAGUAUAAUGUGGGAAUCUGCCUUUUGGUCUGGAAUAACACGGGGAAACUUGUGCUAAUACCGGAUAAGCCUUUACAGGGAAAGUUUUAAUGCCGAAAGAUGAGCCCGCACUUGAUUAGCUAGUUGGUAAGGUAAAAGCUUACCAAGGCAACGAUCAAUAGCUGUUCUUAGAGGAAGACCAGCCACAUUGGGACUGAGACACGGCCCAGACUCCUACGGGAGGCAGCAGUGGGGAAUUUUCCGCAAUGGGCGAAAGCCUGACGGAGCAACGCCGCGUGAGGGACGAAGGCCUCUGGGCUGUAAACCUCUUUUCUCAAGGAAGAAGAUAUGACGGUACUUGAGGAAUAAGCCACGGCUAAUUCCGUGCCAGCAGCCGCGGUAAUACGGGAGUGGCAAGCGUUAUCCGGAAUUAUUGGGCGUAAAGCGUCCGCAGGCGGCUUUUCAAGUCUGCUGUUAAAGCGUGGAGCUUAACUCCAUCAUGGCAGUGGAAACUGAAAGGCUUGAGUAUGGUAGGGGCAGAGGGAAUUCCCGGUGUAGCGGUGAAAUGCGUAGAUAUCGGGAAGAACACCAGUGGCGAAGGCGCUCUGCUGGGCCAUUACUGACGCUCAUGGACGAAAGCCAGGGGAGCGAAAGGGAUUAGAUACCCCUGUAGUCCUGGCCGUAAACGAUGAACACUAGGUGUCGGGGGAAUCGACCCCUUCGGUGUCGUAGCUAACGCGUUAAGUGUUCCGCCUGGGGAGUACGCACGCAAGUGUGAAACUCAAAGGAAUUGACGGGGGCCCGCACAAGCGGUGGAGUAUGUGGUUUAAUUCGAUGCAACGCGAAGAACCUUACCAGGGUUUGACAUCCUGCGAACCUCUUAGAAAUUUGAGGGUGCCUUCGGGAAUGCAGUGACAGGUGGUGCAUGGCUGUCGUCAGCUCGUGUCGUGAGAUGUUGGGUUAAGUCCCGCAACGAGCGCAACCCACGUUUUUAGUUGCCAGCAUUUAGUUGGGCACUCUAGAAAGACCGCCGGUGAUAAACCGGAGG